RNAcentral lists this ribosomal RNA (988 nucleotides) under Circinella muscae. Its description in RNAcentral is "LSU rRNA". It matches the Rfam family "Eukaryotic large subunit ribosomal RNA", at positions 38 to 963 of the family's 3401-position model. The record is from RNAcentral. Lineage: Eukaryota; Fungi; Mucoromycota; Mucoromycetes; Mucorales; Lichtheimiaceae.
GCAUAUCAUAGCGGAGAAAAGAAAAUAACAAUGAUUCCCUCAGUUAACGGCGAAGUGAACAGGGAAAGCUUCACAGUUGGAACCUAGCUGCCUUAGGUAGUUUCGGAUUGUAAACUGAAAAAGUGUUAUCCAGGCUAGCCGAGUAAAUAAGUUUCUUGGAAUAGAACAUCAUGGAGGGUGAGAAUCCCGUCUUUGGCUUGAGCAUAGUCUUUUGUGUUGCACUUUAACGAGUCAGGUUGUUUGGGAAUGCAGCCUAAAGUGGGAGGUAAAUCCCUCCUAAAGCUAAAUAUUGGCGAGAGACCGAUAGCAAACAAGUACCGUGAGGGAAAGAUGAAAAGAACUUUGAAAAGAGAGUUAAACAGUAUGUGAAAUUGCUAAAAGGGAAGCGUUUGAAGACAGACUAGCUUGGUUAUAAUCAGCCUGGAUUUUUCUUGGUGUACUUGUAGCCUAUGCUUGCCAACAGCAGUUUGGUCUGACUGAAAAAACUAGUAGUAAGGUGGCUCUCUUCGGGGAGUGUUAUAGACUAUUAGAAAAUCAGUUGGACUGGACUGAGGAAUGCAAUGCAGCUUGCCUUGGGGUGAACCAGAUUGAAUAGGAACCAUUGUUCCUUGAAGGUUUGGGUAGCUCUUCGAACUGUAUUUAGGUUGUUGGCUUAAUGUCUUUAAACGGCCCGUCUUGAAACACGGACCAAGGAGUCUACCAAAGAUGCGAGUAUUUGGGUUGUAAACCCAUAUGCGCAAUGAAAGUAAAUAAAGUUGUGAAGGCUUAAGCUGGCAACAACAUCCGGCAUGGACGUUUUAUACUGAAAUGACUGAGAUAAAGCAUCUUUGAUGGGACCCGAAAGAUGGUGAACUAUGCUUGAAAUAGGGUGAAGCCAGAGGAAACUCUGGUGGGAGGCUCGAAGCGAUUCUGACGUGCAAAUCGAUCGUCAAAUUUGAGCAUAGGGGGCGAAAGACUAAUCGAACCAUCUAGUAGCUGGGUUCUGCGA